CCUACGGGUGGCUGCAGUGAGGAAUAUUGGUCAAUGGGCGGAAGCCUGAACCAGCCAAGUAGCGUGCAGGAUGACGGCCCUACGGGUUGUAAACUGCUUUUAUACGGGAAUAACGCGCCUUACGUGUAGGGCUUUGCAUGUACCGUAUGAAUAAGGACCGGCUAAUUCCGUGCCAGCAGCCGCGGUAAUACGGAAGGUCCGGGCGUUAUCCGGAUUUAUUGGGUUUAAAGGGAGCGUAGGCCGCAUGUCAAGCGUGCUGUGAAAUGUCCGGGCUCAACCCGGGCCUUGCAGCGCGAACUGGCGUGCUGGAGUCCGCGGAAGGCAGGCGGAAGUGGGGGUGUGGCGGGGAAAUGCUUAGAUAUGACGAAGAACCCCGAUUGCGAAGGCGGCUUGCGGCAGCGGAACUGACGCUGAUGCUCGAAGGCGCGGGAAUCGAACAGGAUUAGAUACCCUGUAGUC
RNAcentral lists this ribosomal RNA (459 nucleotides) under uncultured bacterium. RNAcentral's name for it is "partial 16S ribosomal RNA". It matches the Rfam family "Bacterial small subunit ribosomal RNA", at positions 338 to 795 of the family's 1533-position model. The record is from RNAcentral.